AGAGCAUACGGUGGAUGCCUUGGCGAUAUCUGCCGAUGAAGGACGCGACAAGCUGCGAAAAGCUGCGGUGAGGUGCAAAUGACCUUUGACCCGCAGAUGUCCGAAUGGAGCAAUCCGGCUGUGGUUAUGCACAGUCACCCAUGCCUGUGAGUAUGGGAGGGAACCAGGCGAACUGAAACAUCUAAGUAGCCUGAGGAGAAGUAAUCAAACGAGAUACCCCCAGUAGCGGCGAGCGAACGGGGCAGAAGCCCAAACCGCAGAAGGAAACUUUUACGGGGUUGAGGGCCGUCAUACGAACGUGGAAUCCAGCUGAAGCUUCUGGGAAGGAGCGCCGCAGGAUGUGAAAGCCAUGUAAGCGAAAGAGGAAGCGGAACAGACGGUACCAGAGUACCGCGGGACACGAGAAACCCCGUGGGAAGCAGGGGGGACCACCCUCCAAGGCAAAACACAGAUAUCGACCGAUAGCGCAUAGUACCAUGAGGGAAAGGUGAAAAGCACCCCGGGAGGGGAAUGAAACAGAACCUGAAACCGUAUGUUUACAAGCAGUCGGAGACCGUAUAUAUAUCAGGUCGACGGCGUGCCUAUUGAAGAAUGAACCGGCGAGUUAUGAGGUCCAGCGAGGUUAAGCAGGAAAUGCGGAGCCGAAGCGAAAGCGAGUCUUAACAGGGCGAGUAGUUGGACUGCAUAGACCCGAAACCACAGUGAUCUACCCAUGUCCAGGUUGAAGCACAGGUAAAAAUGUGUGGAGGACCGAACCUAUAUCCGUUGAAAAGGGUUAGGAUGAGGUGUGGGUAGGGGUGAAAUUCCAAUCGAACGUGGAGAUAGCUGGUUCUCCCCGAAAUAGCUUUAGGGCUAGCCUCAGGGUAAAGAUUGCAGGCGGUAGAGCACUGAUCAGGAGAGGGACCUACCCGGUUACCAAACCCAGUCAAACUACGAAUGGCUGCAAUUAUACCUGGGAGUCAGACUACGACUUAUAAGGGCCGUGGUCAAAAGGGAAACAGCCCAGAUCAUCAGCUAAGGUCCCAAAUGCCGUGCUAAGUGGCGAAGGAUGUGGCGUUUCAUAAACAACCAGGAUGUUGGCUCAGAAGCAGCCACCAUUUAAAGAGUGCGUAAUAGCUCACUGGUCGAGAGACGCUGCGCCGAAAAUGUCCGGGGCUCAAGCACGGAACCGAAGCUAUGGCAUUGCGUAAGCAAUGGGUAGGGGAGCGUUCUUAUGGGGAAGAAGCAUUACCGUAAGGAGAUGUGGACACAUAAGAAGUGAGAAUGCCGGUAUGAGUAUCGAAAAGAAAGGUGAGAAUCCUUUCCACCGAAAGCCCGAGGGUUCCUGAGCAACGAUCGUCGUCUCAGGGUAAGUCGGGACCUAAGCCGAGGCACAGACGCAUAGGCGAUGGACAACAGGUUGAAAUUCCUGUACCGGAUGGAGUCAUUUGAGCAAUGGAGUGACGCAGGAGGGCACAUGAUCGCGCGACUGGAAGAGCGCGUCCAAGUGCGUAUGUUGAAUCGGAGGCAAAUCCCCGAUUCUGAAAGCAGAGACAUGAUGGGGAGUUAUAAGCGAUUAUGACGAACUCAUGGAUCCCACACUGCCAAGAAAAACUUCUAGCGAGACGAAAUCCGCCCGUACCGUAAACCGACACAGGUAGGCGGGGAGAGAAUCCUAAGGUGCGCGGGAAAACCCUCGUUAAGGAACUCGGCAAAUUGCAUCCGUAACUUCGGGAGAAGGAUGGCCCUGAGUAGGCGAAGUGCAGAAACGCACGGAACAGAAAAGGGUGGCAGAAAAGAGGCCCAAGCAACUGUUUACCAAAAACACAGGUGCCUGCGAAAGCGAAAGCUGAAGUAUAGGUGCUGACGCCUGCCCGGUGCUGGAAGGUUAAGGAGAGAGGUUAGCGCAAGCGAAGCUUUGAACUGAAGCCCCAGUGAACGGCGGCCGUAACUAUAACGGUCCUAAGGUAGCGAAAUUCCUUGUCGGGUAAGUUCCGACCCGCAUGAAAGGCGUAAUGAUUUGGGCGCUGUCUCAACGAGGGGCCCGGUGAAAUUGAAAUACCUGUGAAGAUGCAGGUUACCCGCGACUGGACAGAAAGACCCCAUGGAGCUUUACUGCAGCUUGAGAUUGAAUCCCGGUGGCAGACGCACAGGAUAGGUGGGAGGCUUUGAGAUAGUGACUUUGGUUGCUAUGGAGCCGACGUUGGGAUACCACCCUUCUGUUGCUGGGAUUCUAACGCGAAGAUUAACAACCUUGCGGACCAUCUCAGGUAGGCGGUUUGACUGGGGCGGUCGCCUCCGAAAGAGUAACGGAGG
Molecule: ribosomal RNA, 2295 nt
Filed under: human gut metagenome
Description: bacterial LSU rRNA
Rfam family: Bacterial large subunit ribosomal RNA
Source: RNAcentral